AGUGAACGCUGGCGGCAGGCCUAAUACAUGCAAGUCGAACGAAAGGACAGUAAGCGUUCUCCUUUACGGUUGGCGAGGGGCGGAUGGGUGACGAAUAGAUCGCAAACCUCUUUUACUGGGGUGACUUCGUAGGAAAACAUAUGCUAAUACCUCAUAUUACGAACGGCAUGAAUCAAUAGAGCAUGGGAGCUUUCCUGUCACAUAGAGACGAUGUCGGAUUAGCUAGUUGGCUAGGUAAGGGCCCACCAAGGCAACGAUCCGUAGCCGGCCUGAGAGGAUGAUCCGCCACACUGGAACUGAGACACGGUCCAGACUCCUACGGGAGGCAGCAGUAGGGAAUCUUGCACAAUGGGCGAAAGCCUGACCGAGCCAUGCCGCGUGGGUGAAGAAGGCCUUCGGGUUGUAAAACCCUGUUAUUAGGGAAGAAAAACAGUGGAAGAAAACGCGGCUGUUCUGACGGUACCCAAAGAAAAAGCCCCGGCUAACUACGUG
This 492-nucleotide ribosomal RNA is filed under the name uncultured bacterium. Its description in RNAcentral is "partial 16S ribosomal RNA". It matches the Rfam family "Bacterial small subunit ribosomal RNA", at positions 29 to 507 of the family's 1533-position model. The record is from RNAcentral.